CAGUCGCCGCGGUAAUACCGAGGGUGCGAGCGUUAAUCGGAUUUACUGGGCGUAAAGCGUGCGUAGGCAGCUUCUUAAGUCGGAUGUGAAAUCCCUGAGCUUAACUUAGGAAUUGCAUUCGAUACUGGGAAGCUAGAGUAUGGGAGAGGAUGGUAGAAUUCCAGGUGUAGCGGUGAAAUGCGUAGAGAUCUGGAGGAAUACCGAUGGCGAAGGCAGCCAUCUGGCCUAAUACUGACGCUGAGGUACGAAAGCAUGGGGAGCAAACAGGAUUAGAUACCCGCGUAGUCCCUGUCUCUUAUAC
Molecule: ribosomal RNA, 301 nt
Filed under: uncultured bacterium
Lineage: Bacteria
Description: partial 16S ribosomal RNA
Rfam family: Bacterial small subunit ribosomal RNA
Source: RNAcentral